CGCAAGCCUGACGGAGCAAGACCGCGUGGGGGAGGAAGGUCUGUGGAUUGUAAACCCCUUUUCUCUAGGAAGAAGUUCUGACGGUACUAGAGGAAUCAGCAUCGGCUAACUCCGUGCCAGCAGCCGCGGUAAGACGGAGGAUGCAAGCGUUAUCCGGAAUUAUUGGGCGUAAAGCGUCCGUAGGCGGUUUUUCAAGUCUGCCGUUAAAGACUACAGCUUAACUGUGGGCCGGCGGUGGAAACUGAGGAACUUGAGUAUGGUAGGGGUAGAGGGAAUUCCCAGUGUAGCGGUGAAAUGCGUAGAUAUUGGGAAGAACACCAGUGGCGAAGGCGCUCUGCUGGGCCAUAACUGACGCUGAGGGACGAAAGCUAGGGGAGCG
RNAcentral lists this ribosomal RNA (379 nucleotides) under uncultured cyanobacterium. RNAcentral's name for it is "bacterial SSU rRNA". It matches the Rfam family "Bacterial small subunit ribosomal RNA", at positions 376 to 770 of the family's 1533-position model. Lineage: Bacteria; Bacillati; Cyanobacteriota. The record is from RNAcentral.